Molecule: ribosomal RNA, 107 nt
Filed under: Caerostris darwini
Lineage: Eukaryota; Metazoa; Arthropoda; Arachnida; Araneae; Araneidae
Source: RNAcentral
GCUAUUACAUGCUGAAUAUACCGGUUCUCGUUAGAUCACCGAAGUUAAGCAUCAUUGGGCGCGGUCAGUACUUGGGUGGGUGACCACCUGGGAACAUUGCGUGCCGU